RNAcentral lists this ribosomal RNA (228 nucleotides) under uncultured bacterium. RNAcentral's name for it is "partial 16S ribosomal RNA". It matches the Rfam family "Bacterial small subunit ribosomal RNA", at positions 568 to 796 of the family's 1533-position model. The record is from RNAcentral.
CAUGUAGGCGGCAUGACAAGUCUGGUGUGAAAUAUCUCGGCUCAACCGAGAAAACGCACUGGAAACUGUCAAGCUUGAGUAUCGGAGGGGAAGCUAGAAUUCCUGGUGUAGGGGUGAAAUCUGUAGAUAUCAGGAAGAAUACCGGUGGCGAAGGCGAGCUUCUGGCCAGAUACUGACGCUGAGAUGCGAAAGCGUGGGGACUAACAGGAUUAGAUACCCUGGUAGUCC